UGGGGAAUAUUGGGCAAUGGAGGCAACUCUGACCCAGCAACGCCGCGUGAAUGAAGAAGGUCUUCGGAUUGUAAAGUUCUUUAACGAGGGACGAAACAAAUGACGGUACCUCGGGAAUAAGCCACGGCAAACUAUGUGCCAGCAGCCGCGGUAAUACAUAGGUGGCAAGCGUUAUCCGGAAUGACUGGGCGUAAAGGGAGCGUAGGUGGUUUGAUAAGUUGGAAGUGAAAUCCCGGGGCUUAACUCCGGAACUGCUUUCAAGACUGUCAAACUUGAGUGUGGAAGGGGAAAAUGGAAUUCCUAGUGUAGCGGUGGAAUGCGUAGAUAUUAGGAGGAACACCAGUGGCGAAGGCGAUUUUCUGGGACACAACUGACACUGAGGCUCGAAAGCGUGGGGAGCAAACA
Molecule: ribosomal RNA, 405 nt
Filed under: uncultured Bacillota bacterium
Lineage: Bacteria; Bacillati; Bacillota
Description: uncultured Firmicutes bacterium partial 16S ribosomal RNA
Rfam family: Bacterial small subunit ribosomal RNA
Source: RNAcentral